GAUGAACGCUGGCGGCGUGCCUAAUACAUGCAAGUCGAGCGAACAGACGAGGAGCUUGCUCCUCUGACGUUAGCGGCGGACGGGUGAGUAACACGUGGAUAACCUACCUAUAAGACUGGGAUAACUUCGGGAAACCGGAGCUAAUACCGGAUAAUAUAUUGAACCGCAUGGUUCAAUAGUGAAAGACGGUUUUGCUGUCACUUAUAGAUGGAUCCGCGCCGCAUUAGCUAGUUGGUAAGGUAACGGCUUACCAAGGCAACGAUGCGUAGCCGACCUGAGAGGGUGAGCGGCCACACUGGAAGUGUGACACGGUCCAGACUCCUACGGGAGGCAGCAGUAGGGAAUCUUCCGCAAUGGGCGAAAGCCUGACGGAGCAACGCCGCGUGAGUGAUGAAGGUCUUCGGAUCGUAAAACUCUGUUAUUAGGGAAGAACAAAUGUGUAAGUAACUAUGCACGUCUUGACGGUACCUAAUCAGAAAGCCACGGCUAACUACGUG
This 497-nucleotide ribosomal RNA is filed under the name uncultured bacterium. RNAcentral's name for it is "partial 16S ribosomal RNA". It matches the Rfam family "Bacterial small subunit ribosomal RNA", at positions 28 to 507 of the family's 1533-position model. The record is from RNAcentral.